AAGUCGAAYGGUAACAGGAAGCAGCUUGCUGCUUCGCUGACGAGUGGCGGACGGGUGAGUAAUGUCUGGGAAACUGCCUGAUGGAGGGGGAUAACUACUGGAAACGGUAGCUAAUACCGCAUAAUGUCGCAAGACCAAAGAGGGGGACCUUCGGGCCUCUUGCCAUCGGAUGUGCCCAGAUGGGAUUAGCUAGUAGGUGGGGUAACGGCUCACCUAGGCGACGAUCCCUAGCUGGUCUGAGAGGAUGACCAGCCACACUGGAACUGAGACACGGUCCAGACUCCUACGGGAGGCAGCAGUGGGGAAUAUUGCACAAUGGGCGCAAGCCUGAUGCAGCCAUGCCGCGUGUAUGAAGAAGGCCUUCGGGUUGUAAAGUACUUUCAGCGGGGAGGAAGGUGCUGAGGUUAAUAACCUCAGCAAUUGACGUUACCCGCAGAAGAAGCACCGGCUAACUCCGUGCCAGCAGCCGCGGUAAUACGGAGGGUGCAAGCGUUAAUCGGAAUUACUGGGCGUAAAGCGCACGCAGGCGGUCUGUCAAGUCGGAUGUGAAAUCCCCGGGCUCAACCUGGGAACUGCAUUCGAAACUGGCAGGCUAGAGUCUUGUAGAGGGGGGUAGAAUUCCAGGUGUAGCGGUGAAAUGCGUAGAGAUCUGGAGGAAUACCGGUGGCGAAGGCGGCCCCCUGGACAAAGACUGACGCUCAGGUGCGAAAGCGUGGGGAGCAAACAGGAUUAGAUACCCUGGUAGUCCACGCCGUAAACGAUGUCGACUUGGAGGUUGUGCCCUUGAGGCGUGGCUUCCGGAGCUAACGCGUUAAGUCGACCGCCUGGGGAGUACGGCCGCAAGGUUAAAACUCAAAUGAAUUGACGGGGGCCCGCACAAGCGGUGGAGCAUGUGGUUUAAUUCGAUGCAACGCGAAGAACCUUACCUACUCUUGACAUCCAGAGAACUUUCCAGAGAUGGAUUGGUGCCUUCGGGAACUCUGAGACAGGUGCUGCAUGGCUGUCGUCAGCUCGUGUUGUGAAAUGUUGGGUUAAGUCCCGCAACGAGCGCAACCCUUAUCCUUUGUUGCCAGCGGUUAGGCCGGGAACUCAAAGGAGACUGCCAGUGA
This 1109-nucleotide ribosomal RNA is filed under the name uncultured Enterobacter sp. RNAcentral describes it as "bacterial SSU rRNA". It matches the Rfam family "Bacterial small subunit ribosomal RNA", at positions 59 to 1158 of the family's 1533-position model. The record is from RNAcentral. Lineage: Bacteria; Pseudomonadati; Pseudomonadota; Gammaproteobacteria; Enterobacterales; Enterobacteriaceae.